GGGGAUGUAGCUCAGUGGUUAGAGCAUCCGCCUUAUAAGCGGAAGGUCGCAGGUUCGAUCCCUGCCAUCCCCACAA
RNAcentral lists this transfer RNA (76 nucleotides) under bacterium. RNAcentral describes it as "tRNA-Ile". It matches the Rfam family "tRNA". From Rfam's summary of the family: Transfer RNA (tRNA) molecules are approximately 80 nucleotides in length. The record is from RNAcentral.